RNAcentral lists this ribosomal RNA (245 nucleotides) under uncultured bacterium. RNAcentral's name for it is "partial 16S ribosomal RNA". It matches the Rfam family "Bacterial small subunit ribosomal RNA", at positions 524 to 768 of the family's 1533-position model. The record is from RNAcentral.
UACAGAGGGGGCCAGCGUUGUCCGGAGUUACUGGGCGUAAAGCGCACGCAGGCGGUCGGCGGCGUAGGUGGUGACAGUCCUCGGCUUACCCGGGGAAGGGCUGCCUAAACGGGUCGACUUGAGGGCCAGAGAGGGACACGGAACUCCGGGUGGAGCGGUGAAAUGCGUAGAGAUCCGGAAGAACACCAAAGGCGAAGGCAGUGUCCUGGCUGGUUCCUGACGCUCAGGUGCGAAAGCUAGGGGAG